UGCUUGAGCCCAGGAUUUCAUAGCACGCUAUGCCAAUCAAGUGUCCGCACUAAGUUCAGCAUCAAUAUGGUGACCUCCCAGGAGCGGGGGACCACCAGGUUGUCUAAGGAGGGGUGAACUGGCCCAAGUCAGAAACGGAGCAGGUUAAAACUCCCGUGCUGAUGAGUAGUGGGAUUGCGCCUGUGAAUAACCAUUGCACUCCAGCCUGGGCAACUUAGCA
This 220-nucleotide small RNA is filed under the name Balaenoptera musculus (blue whale). Its description in RNAcentral is "Metazoan signal recognition particle RNA (ENSBMSG00010021504.1)". It matches the Rfam family "Metazoan signal recognition particle RNA", at positions 60 to 284 of the family's 299-position model. From Rfam's summary of the family: The signal recognition particle (SRP) is a universally conserved ribonucleoprotein. It is involved in the co-translational targeting of proteins to membranes. The eukaryotic SRP consists of a 300-nucleotide 7S RNA and six proteins: SRPs 72, 68, 54, 19, 14, and 9. The record is from Rfam by way of RNAcentral. Lineage: Eukaryota; Metazoa; Chordata; Mammalia; Artiodactyla; Balaenopteridae.